UAGUUGCCAGCAUUCGGUUGGGCACUCUAGAGGGACUGCCGGCGACAAGUCGGAGGAAGGUGGGGAUGACGUCAAAUCAUCAUGCCCUUAUGACCUGGGCUACACACGUGCUACAAUGGGCGGUACAAAGGGCUGCGAACCCGCGAGGGGGAGCGAAUCCCAAAAAGCCGCUCUCAGUUCGGAUUGCAGGCUGCAACUCGCCUGCAUGAAGCCGGAAUCGCUAGUAAUCGCGGAUCAGCAUGCCGCGGUGAAUACGUUCCCGGGCCUU
Molecule: ribosomal RNA, 268 nt
Filed under: uncultured Geobacillus sp.
Lineage: Bacteria; Bacillati; Bacillota; Bacilli; Caryophanales; Anoxybacillaceae
Description: partial 16S ribosomal RNA
Rfam family: Bacterial small subunit ribosomal RNA
Source: RNAcentral